This 675-nucleotide small RNA is filed under the name Pongo abelii (Sumatran orangutan). Its description in RNAcentral is "retained intron". The record is from RNAcentral. Lineage: Eukaryota; Metazoa; Chordata; Mammalia; Primates; Hominidae.
GCCGGGCCUGCGGGAGCUGCGGAGGCCGGAGGCGGGCGCUGUGCGGUGCCAGGAGAGGCGGGGUCGGCGGGAGCCAGCGAGCGACGGGAGCGAGCCAGGCUAACCUUGCCGCGGGCCGAGCCCUGCCUCGCCAUGGACCAGGACUAUGAGCGGCGCCUGCUUCGCCAGAUCGUCAUCCAGAAUGAGAACACGAUGCCACGCGUUACGGAGAUGCGGCGGACCCUGACGCCUGCCAGCUCCCCAGUGUCCUCGCCCAGCAAGCACGGAGACCGCUUCAUCCCCUCCAGAGCCGGAGCCAACUGGAGCGUGAACUUCCACAGGAUUAACGAGAAUGAGAAGUCUCCCAGUCAGAACCGGAAAGCCAAGGACGCCACCUCAGACAACGGCAAAGGUUAGGGUCCCAGCCCAUCCGCCCUGCAGGCCCCCACCCUGCCUUGCCCUGCCUCACUGUGCUUGAUACCCGCAGACGGCCUGGCCUACUCCGCCCUGCUCAAGAAUGAGCUGCUGGGUGCCGGCAUCGAGAAGGUGCAGGACCCGCAGACUGAGGACCGCAGGCUGCAGCCCUCCACGCCUGAGAAGAAGGGUCUGUUCACGUAUUCCCUCAGCACCAAGCGCUCCAGCCCCGAUGAUGGCAACGACGUGUCUCCCUACUCCCUGUCUCCCGUCAGCAACAAG